RNAcentral lists this unclassified non-coding RNA (228 nucleotides) under Hevea brasiliensis (rubber tree). Lineage: Eukaryota; Viridiplantae; Streptophyta; Magnoliopsida; Malpighiales; Euphorbiaceae. The record is from RNAcentral.
GGCAUAAUGACCUUUUGAGACACCUGAUCCACCAGAGCAUGGUUGUUGACACCCUUAAACUUAAUAUGUCCAGCCAUGUAGUUGGGGUCAUUGCUUCGUAAUGCUUCCAUAGAACAUUGUGGUCCUAAAGCCACCUUCUUUUUGCUCCACAUUUUCAGCUUACUCCCUUUUUUGAAUUUCAUGAUAUGUAGCCCAAAGUACUACUUGAAAUCCUUUUGAAUUGCAGAG